GUAUAACGAAUCCUUGUGUUGUACACCUUAAACUUAUACAAUCAUGCAUGUCAAUUACAUCUCAACUAAUCCAGAAAAAAAUAUUCAAAGCCUCACUUGUAAAGGAAAAGGGACAACAGUGUCUUUUUCAUAGCAGUGUGGCAAAGACUAGUAAAAUAGUAAACAAAAGUCCUUUUCUGGGCAUCUGAGCCAAAAUAAGCCCAAAAUGAUAAUUGCUAGAAAGACCUUUAGAAUAGCGAGGACUAUAGAAGCUAAGACUUUUGAGAAAGGAACACAUGCUUAUAUGGAGAGGAAAACAAAACUUGAAGGGUAGCAACAGUGGCAGAGACAGAGAACCCGUGGGCAGAAGUUAGAGGGGUAACUGGAAGAACUUUCUUGCUUUUUUUUUCUUUUUCUUUUUCUUUUUUUUCUGGAAGAACUUUCUAACAAUUCUCACUGUCCAUCCACAGAACGGAGCCUGAGAAGUUGUGAGCUUCUCAUGCCUGGCAGUCUCCUGGGGGCACUCGAAGGUCUUUGUCACCUGCAGAGGAACAUCAGAUUUCGAUGGACUGCUUUCUGCUUGGCCUCCUCACACCAUGAUCCUCCCUGCUUGGCUUUCCAUGGCCCUUCCUCCUCCACUUCAUCUGAGUCACUGUCUUCUCUGAGCUCUAUCAUCGGGCUCUUCCCAUCCUGAACCACACAGCCAUCCUGCAUGGACUCACGUGCUUCCAUAUUAUCAGCUGUCACCUCGAAGUGGUUUUCAACAGGGCACAAGAAGAGGGAGAAGAAGCCAAGGGGAGUCACGUAGAAACACCUGGUGAGAAGGGCCUUCUGAAUGGUGACACCCCAUUUGCUCAGUCAUGCCAGAAAGAAACUUGAAGUCACGAGUGACAUUUCCUUGCCAUCCUGCCAACAUUCACACAAUCUCUAAGCCUUGAAAUAUUGCUUCCUAAUUAUUUCACCAAUUCAUCACCUCCUCUCCCUUUCUUAUUGCACUUCCCCAGUUCAGGCCCUGAUCACAUCUGAGCAUCUGCACCCAGUGAUUCUCCUCUGUCUGGGAACCACCCUCCUUGGGCUGACCCCAAAAGUCAAUCGGGAAGGGAAUUCCUCCUUCUGAUUCCCAGGGAGGGAUUAAGGUUCUGGUCAGAGGAUCAAGGUCUUAGAACCCAACUGAAAAACCUGGAAACAAGGAUAUCUGGGGAGAGUUAUGUGGCUGGUCCCCAUAGGGGGAGUUUGAGACUGAAAAUAUUCCAGGGUUAUGAAGAGGUUUACCAGAAGUCUGCCCAUGUGGAAGCGGCUCUUUAUAACCACCUAGACAGGGUGACUACUGGGUAGACUGGCGCUCGCAAAAUAAAGCCCCAGAGAGGCAGGAACA
Molecule: long non-coding RNA, 1354 nt
Filed under: Vulpes vulpes (red fox)
Lineage: Eukaryota; Metazoa; Chordata; Mammalia; Carnivora; Canidae
Description: lncRNA (ENSVVUG00000003487.1)
Source: RNAcentral